UAGGGAAUCUUCCGCAAUGGGCGAAAGCCUGACGGAGCAACGCCGCGUGAGUGAUGAAGGUCUUCGGAUCGUAAAACUCUGUUAUUAGGGAAGAACAAAUGUGUAAGUAACUAUGCACGUCUUGACGGUACCUAAUCAGAAAGCCACGGCUAACUACGUGCCAGCAGCCGCGGUAAUACGUAGGUGGCAAGCGUUAUCCGUAAUUAUUGGGCGUAAAGCGCGCGUAGGCGGUUUUUUAAGUCUGAUGUGAAAGCCCACGGCUCAACCGUGGAGGGUCAUUGGAAACUGGAAAACUUUAGUGCAGAAGAGGAAAGUGGAAUUCCAUGUGUAGCGGUGAAAUGCGCAGAGAUAUGGAGGAACACCAGUGGCGAAGGCGACUUUCUGGUCUGUAACUGACGCUGAUGUGCGAAAGCGUGGGGAUCAAACAGG
This 429-nucleotide ribosomal RNA is filed under the name Actinomycetes bacterium. RNAcentral describes it as "Actinobacteria bacterium partial 16S ribosomal RNA". It matches the Rfam family "Bacterial small subunit ribosomal RNA", at positions 355 to 776 of the family's 1533-position model. Lineage: Bacteria; Bacillati; Actinomycetota; Actinomycetes. The record is from RNAcentral.